AGAGACUUAGGAUUAAUUAAACCAAUAGCCUUCAAAGCUAUUAAAAAGAGAUAAACUCUUAGUCCCU
Molecule: transfer RNA, 67 nt
Filed under: Brookesia tristis
Lineage: Eukaryota; Metazoa; Chordata; Lepidosauria; Squamata; Chamaeleonidae
Description: partial tRNA-Trp
Rfam family: tRNA
About the family: Transfer RNA (tRNA) molecules are approximately 80 nucleotides in length. Their secondary structure includes four short double-helical elements and three loops (D, anti-codon, and T loops).
Source: RNAcentral